ACGAAGUAAACCCUACUGCUCACUUUUUCCUUUCUCACCGAAGAACGCACCAGGAUAUCUGCAGUUGAUUACCUCUCCCACUUCAGUUAUCAAUCUUUCAUUGUUAUCGCGAGACAAAUCAUGAGUGACGAAGGAUCACAUAGAGAUACCCUUAGAAUUUUCCUUGAAAAAUAAAGUUAAUAUGGGUGGAAAUAUUGAGGUAGAUGAUGUUGUAGGAGGAAGGCUCCCUUUUAAAGUCUUCUAUGGAAACAAGGGGGAUUUGAUAUGGGAUUCUGUGAGUGUUUUUAGAAAACUGUGUGAAAUGAAAAAGAAUCACCUAUGUGAUUUCUUUUAUAUGGGAGGAAACAAGUUUCAUGUCACCUUAUUAGAACUGAAUUGUAAUUUCAUAAGGCAUGCUGAGUCCUCCAAGUCUGUUAAGAAGUCUGAUCCAGUUGACAAAGGGAAAGUUGUUGCUGAUGAAAGAAGCUUUCCAAUCUAUAUUAGUAGUGAUUUAUCUUUGCCUGAUAAUUCUGUCCAAGAUGCUGCUUCGACCCGAGUGGAUCAUCAUGUUGUUAGAAGUGUCAUGUCCCAGUUGCAGAUGGUAUAUUCGUUCUAUUCAAGAAUUUGACAAAGUUUUUAACAAAUCUAUGAUUUCUGGCUCCCAGACUCUGGCCUCACUGGAAGUUCUUACAGUUGAAGGAAAAUGGUAUUCAAGCGAGCUGAAGAGGAGGAAUGGAGAUCCCAACCAUGUUGAGUGUAACAUUGGGACAGGUUGAUAUCGUUUUGUUAAAGGUAGUAAAUUGUGAAUUGGUGAUACAGUCCACUUUAGGCCUGAUAGUACUCAGAACAAUAUCGUCUAUGUUACUAUUUUCGUAAAGGGAGGAAAUCCUAAGAUAGUUUCUAUAACAGUUGGUUUUUUUUGUUUUUAAAGAAUCUUUGUAGUACCAAUUUGAAUUCCUGUUUUUUAACUCUGUACCAGUAUCUUUCUUUGUCAUCUUUAAGACCUUUGUGGUCAGGAUUUAUCU
RNA transcript from Lotus japonicus, 1004 nucleotides. RefSeq lists it as uncharacterized. The transcript has 3 exons. The record is from RefSeq and is a predicted model, not a curated record. NCBI's taxonomy places the organism in Eukaryota, Viridiplantae, Streptophyta, Magnoliopsida, Fabales, Fabaceae.